CGAGCGAGACCUUCGGGUCUAGCGGCGGACGGGUUAGUAACGCGUGGGAAUAUACCCUUUGGUACGGAAUAGCCUCGGGAAACUGAGAGUAAUACCGUAUGUGCCCUUCGGGGGAAAGAUUUAUCGCCAAAGGAUUAGCCCGCGUUGGAUUAGGUAGUUGGUGGGGUAAUGGCCUACCAAGCCUACGAUCCAUAGCUGGUUUGAGAGGAUGAUCAGCAACACUGGGACUGAGACACGGCCCAG
Molecule: ribosomal RNA, 243 nt
Filed under: uncultured bacterium
Lineage: Bacteria
Description: partial 16S ribosomal RNA
Rfam family: Bacterial small subunit ribosomal RNA
Source: RNAcentral